UCUCCAGAGCAUAGAAUUCACAGGGAACCCUAAGUAUCCCUAUGACAUUGUGACACCUGUUUCCACUGUGCCCUCACCCUUCUGGGAGGCUAGGGUAUCACCUUGGCAAUGAAUUCAUUUGGACCAUCCAGCCGGGCCUUUUCCUUCUCCUCUUCCUCCCUUUCAUCAGCCCUCCUUUGCAACUUUUCUACCCUUGAUUUGAGCACUCGGUUUGGCCCUUGGCAAUGCAUUUCUCCAAGGAAAAGGAUGGACCAUGCAUUGCCUGCAAUAUCCCAAGUGAUCCGACCCCCUGAAUCUGUCCCCACAUUUCUCUACCCGGAGCUUUUACUAAUGACCAUCGGAGAUUAGGUUUGUCCCUCGAAGUUGCUCAAUUACAUUAUUCCAUCUCAUUACAUUACAUUAUUACAUUAUUACCUGUGCCCAUAACACUUCUUUCCCCUCACUGUUACUAUUGCCUCCCACCCACCUUGCUAAGGUUCUUUUCGUUCUUUGGAUCCUCCCUUCCAUUUCACUGUCUCUGAGCUGGUAGCUUUAACUCCCUGGCCUGCUCUGGGUUUUCUCCGUGCUCCUUACCCUACACAAGUCCUCUGGGCAGUUGUCACACUUGUAAGCAAAUGAUCCUGUCAUAGUGCCUGACCCCCACGAUAGAUUUUAAGCUCCACCAUGGGAGAGACUGUAUGCUUAAGGGCAAGCACAUAGUAACUGCUCAAAAAUAUGUGUUGGAAGAAGGAAAAGAUGACUGAACGAAGCCAUUUUGAUCAGGAUCCGUUCUACUGUACUUUCGCCAUCAUCUGAUUCAACAAAGAAGUUUUUCUCAGCUGACAUU
This 826-nucleotide long non-coding RNA is filed under the name Fukomys damarensis (Damara mole-rat). Its description in RNAcentral is "lncRNA (ENSFDAG00000022777.1)". Lineage: Eukaryota; Metazoa; Chordata; Mammalia; Rodentia; Bathyergidae. The record is from RNAcentral.